RNAcentral lists this ribosomal RNA (450 nucleotides) under uncultured bacterium. RNAcentral describes it as "partial 16S ribosomal RNA". It matches the Rfam family "Bacterial small subunit ribosomal RNA", at positions 354 to 796 of the family's 1533-position model. The record is from RNAcentral.
GUGGGGAAUAUUGGACAAUGGGCGAAAGCCUGAUCCAGCCAUGCCGCGUGUGUGAAGAAGGUCUUCGGAUUGUAAAGCACUUUAAGUUGGGAGGAAGGGCAGUAAGUUAAUACCUUGCUGUUUUGACGUUACCGACAGAAUAAGCACCGGCUAACUUCGUGCCAGCAGCCGCGGUAAUACGAAGGGUGCAAGCGUUAAUCGGAAUUACUGGGCGUAAAGCGCGCGUAGGUGGUUCGUUAAGUUGGAUGUGAAAGCCCCGGGCUCAACCUGGGAACUGCAGCCAAAACUGGCGAGCUAGAGGACGGUAGAGGGUGGUGGAAUUUCCUGUGUAGCGGUGAAAUGCGUAGAUAUAGGAAGGAACACCAGUGGCGAAGGCGACCACCUGGACUGAUACUGACACUGAGGUGCGAAAGCGUGGGGAGCAAACAGGAUUAGAUACCCCAGUAGUCC